Long non-coding RNA from Amphimedon queenslandica, 1009 nucleotides. RefSeq lists it as uncharacterized. NCBI's taxonomy places the organism in Eukaryota, Metazoa, Porifera, Demospongiae, Haplosclerida, Niphatidae. The record is from RefSeq and is a predicted model, not a curated record. The transcript is spliced from 6 exons.
GAGCAAGCCAUUGAAUAGUCCUAUAACCCAUGUUAUUGUGUUAGGCACCAUGAUCAUAAAGAAAAGCAUCCAGUAUAGGCUAGCUGCAUGCUGUUGUGCUGGUAUGUCUAAGUCUAAUUCAUAGUCACUACUAUUUUUGUGGUUGCUCAAGAUGUAUAAAUCAGUUGCUAUCUUCAUAAAUGUGAUCUUGCUUAGCACAAGACACAAAAGAACAGAUACAAACAGUACAAUUUGAACUAACCAUACAAGGCAUUUAAUCUUAGAUUUAGCUGCUUGAAAUAUUUUUUUGGUUUCUUUUUUAUAGGUUGGAGUUUGCUCACUAGCUGUGUUAUUGUCAGUUUCCUCAAGUGGUUCCUCUGGUUCCUCCAGUGGAGCCUGGUAUUGUAUUAUGCCAUCGACAUCAGUGUCGUCAAAUCUAGUAUCAUGCCCUGCUGAAGGCAGUAUUGGUACCUGUGCACACAAUAAUCACAUAACAAGAUUGUAUGAUAAUAAUCUGUCAUAGACUUAUAGUGUCAGACUUUGUAGUACCAAUAGGUAAAAGUGGGCUAUUAAUGAAAAAGAGGUCAAUUAAUUUAUAAACAUACUCAUAAAUAAGAGUCGAAGCUAAAGGGUGUGACAUGUCAUGAAUCUACACACAAAAGUGUUUGUGUGUACUCCUUUUUUACAUCAAAGUUUGGCAGAGUAUCGGUACCUGUGCGCACAAUAAUCACAUGACAAGACUGUAUAAUAUAAUCUGACAAUUACACUUGAUGAUUGCGUGUACAAUAAUCACAUCAAAAAUUUAUGCAAGACUGUUAUCAUAUUAACUGAAGUAACAGAUGAUUUAGAUUGCCUAAAAAGAAGCUGCACAAACAGUGCAAAAAUGGAUGUGGAUAUCAUAAUUGAGAACAAGAAGUAGUCUUUGCCGGAGAAGCUAGAUCUAGCUCCUUCAAUCAAGGCAUGAUAUAAGCACACAGCCAAGGAUAAAUUUAAUCUGUACUUUUGAGUUAAUACAAUUAUAUUUUACUGA